UACGUAGGGUGCGAGCGUUAAUCGGAAUUACUGGGCGUAAAGCGUGCGCAGGCGGUUUGUUGUGUCGGUGGUGAAAGCCCCGGGCUUAACCUGGGGAUGGCCAUGGAAACUGGCGAACUGGAGUGUGGCAGAGGGGGGUGGAAUUCCGCGUGUAGCAGUGAAAUGCGUAGAGAUGCGGAGGAACACCGAUGGCGAAGGCAGCCCACUGGGCUAGCACUGACGCUCAGGCACGAAAGCGUGGGGAGCAAACAGG
RNAcentral lists this ribosomal RNA (253 nucleotides) under uncultured bacterium. Its description in RNAcentral is "partial 16S ribosomal RNA". It matches the Rfam family "Bacterial small subunit ribosomal RNA", at positions 524 to 776 of the family's 1533-position model. The record is from RNAcentral.